GUGGCUUCCAACUGGUGACACUGAAGGAAAGAACUCGGCUUUGGGGACACCCACAUAUCAGAGUGAUCAUCGCCCUCCUCCUGCCUGAGUUCACAUAAGUCACCGAGAGCUGCUAUUCAGCAAAAAGGUCAAUGACUAAUCCAGCUUGGAAAAGAAAUUUCUCUCUACCAUGGCAUCUUUGGUCUCAGUAAAUUCAGGCAGAAAUGCUUUGGCAGGACAUUGAAGGAAAGAAGCCGUGCCAGAAUAUACAUCCUCAGCCCACUGAACUAACAGAAGGCAAGCAGCCCUCCCUCUGCUCGCUGCCCGUCACUCUUCCACCAUCAGUCAAAGGCACAGCCAAGGGAAACAGCUUGAUUACCACCACAUGGCUAUCAACUUCCCUGCAGGAGAGUAGGCAUUGAAAGUGAUUUCUUUCAACUUGGCUGUUUAUCUUCAAAGAAAUCACAGGAUUUCAAAACAGCAUUGGGGCACCUGGCUCACAGCCAUCAGCCAAUUUACUGAAUGAAUUAAUAAAUAGCAACAUAUGAUCCUGACUCAUCAAUGCAGAGAGAAAGAAAUGUAAUUUGGGUAAGAGAAAGAAAAUAAUAACUUCCUUUUAAUGAGCAAGAAUCUGACUUUUAAAAAUGGAAAGGAAAUAGUAGAAAAGUAAGAGAAGAUAAUCACCCCAGAGCUCUUUUUUUAUUCAACUACCUAUAUAAACACACACACAAACACACAUCUAUAU
This is a long non-coding RNA of Bubalus bubalis (water buffalo), 724 nucleotides long. RefSeq lists it as uncharacterized. NCBI's taxonomy places the organism in Eukaryota, Metazoa, Chordata, Mammalia, Artiodactyla, Bovidae. The transcript has 3 exons. The record is from RefSeq and is a predicted model, not a curated record.